ACCUCCUCCCCCCACCUCCACCCCCCACAUGAGCUGUCAAGGUCCACAUCGUAUGGAAAUUACACGGGUAUUUUUUCUGUGUUUAUGUCGAUUCUCCCUCUCUCCCACCCAUUGAUGAAGGCAACAUCUGUGACUGAAGAAUGUGAUGGACUGCAACCCCUAUCAUGCACAGAAUGUCAUUGCAGGAUUUGCAGUCUCUGGUACCCUCCCCCUCCCCCCCAUAAAACAAUUAUAUAUGUAAACACGACUAUUAGCGCAUAGUGGGGUUUAAUGCAAAAUAGGAAUCACCAGAGGUACACAGACAUGUAAUUCCCUGUACAAAUGUAGACCCUAAAGCUGUUAUAAAACUACACCUGGCUGCUACAGCAUCAUGGGAGUUGUAGUAUUUCUAGCACAGCCAGGGGUCCUUUGUAUAUGAAGGUCCAUGUCACAUUUACGAGGGUAAUCCUUGGUUUGGCCAUUAACGCAUAGGUUUUCAUGAAGGGUUAUGUAAGAGUAUCACUACCAAAGAUUAUAUACACAGACAGGAGCUGGGGAUAUACCUGCUGGCCACCCCUUGCUAAUCUGUCUGCAUUGUGCUAGCCGCCCUACAGAUGAUGUGUUAAUAUGAAUAAUAUAUUCUAGACUGGGCUUUAUUGGUCCUAUUACUAAACCAUUGCUCACCACUGGGAUGCCAUACACUACCUGGCAAGGAAAGAGUUAACUGUGAGGAUUUUCUCUCUCUCUCUCUCUCUCUCUCUCUCUCCAGAGGCGGUCAGCACUUCUGGAGCGGCCGCUGUGGUUUUCAAAGGAAGGGGAACAGAUGAUUUUUGCUUAUGCAAGGAAUGUCUCUGCUGGUGCUGCUGCAGUGUCUUUUCCCUGCAAGCCCUUAUUCCUCUUACAAAUGCAAGCUGGAAUUUAUUGAAACCACGUCAGCCUCUGAAUUGGAACAUUCGUUAUUUGCUAUCAAUUGGAAUGUUUGUCAGUUUGUUAAAUUUUACUCAUACUGUUUCUAAUGUUCUCUAGCCACAAGCAUUGCGUUUAUACACACAGCUACAGUGAGAUCCCAUAUUUCGAGUAUGAAUUGCAUGUCUGGGUGUGUGCUUACACUUUCUGCAGUGAUUCAUGUUUAUACUGCAGAAUAGAUACUUGCCUUUUUUUUUUUGGCUUUUUAUGGGUUAACCUUUUCCAAUGUGGGAUGUCUCCCCCUCCCCCUGACAGUCCCUUCCUCCAUCAGAAAAGGGGAAAAAAAAACACAACAAAAAAGAGGUGAGGGAAGACUCUCUUGUAGAUCCUCAUUAAUCAGGACUUGUUUUGUAUAAUCCUUUACUCAGAAAUACCACACAGACAGGAAAUGGACUGUUGGGAUAUUUUAUAACUAAAAUACUGUACAUUGUAUAUUAUAAUAGUAUGUAUGUUACUGAAUGUGUCACGGCAUUGCGGUGCUUGCUAUAUAUCUAAUUAAAGAGAUCCACUCUCACCAGAAUCCUUCCCUUUGCC
Pelobates cultripes (western spadefoot toad) is the source of this 1479-nucleotide non-coding RNA. Lineage: Eukaryota; Metazoa; Chordata; Amphibia; Anura; Pelobatidae. The record is from the annotation of a GenBank genome assembly.